UUUUAAUGAGAAUGAAAAAAUAAUACUACUAUCCUUUCCAUGCUUUACUUUUUCAUUCUUUAACUUUAACAUUUUAAUUAGUUCUUAUAUUGUAUAUUGUACGUACAGUGUAUGAUUUAGUAACAAAUGAACCAUGUUUGGUCCUGAUGUUGGAUUGUAGUGUACUUUGUACAGUUAACCGUACUGUUCAUAACGAUACUCUGUACUCUGUACAGUAGAUGUAUCUAAUUCCCGCAUUUCUUAGUAGAUAACGUGAUGGCAACAAGCCGGUCGUUAUUAGAUAAUUUAAAUACAUGUGAUAUAUAGUUUAUCUAAUAGUCGAUAUAUUUAAAUAAAGGCUUCAAGACUAUUA
Eurytemora carolleeae is the source of this 352-nucleotide long non-coding RNA. RefSeq lists it as uncharacterized. Lineage: Eukaryota; Metazoa; Arthropoda; Copepoda; Calanoida; Temoridae. The transcript is spliced from 2 exons. The record is from RefSeq and is a predicted model, not a curated record.